Molecule: long non-coding RNA, 1067 nt
Organism: Notolabrus celidotus (New Zealand spotty)
Lineage: Eukaryota; Metazoa; Chordata; Actinopteri; Labriformes; Labridae
Exons: 3
Source: RefSeq, a predicted model, not a curated record
AAAUCUGCAAAGCAAAAUAAGCUCUCUUGUGUCCAUUGACUGAACAUUCCCACUAUGACUUAUGAGGGUGGUAUGAGUGAAAAUCUGUCUGCUGUGGGAGUGUUUACAGAGUAAACGGAGGCAUUGCUCACCACAGAAUGAAGUUGUUGCCAGUCGACUCCGUUCAAGAGGUGGCGCCCAUUUGGACCACAUCCCAUGGCAUGCUGGGCCCUGCAGGAUGCGCACAAACAUGACACAGCCGUAGUGCACCCUGGCUGCUGACGGGAUGAACAUGUUGAGCACUGAUGUCAGGAAAAUGGCUGCUCCAAACACCCUGCAAGAGUACAGUGAGGAUUCAGUGGAGAAGAAGACAGGAGGAUGAUGUUGAAGUAUUCCUCAAUGCUCAAAGCAUCAUGCAGCCAAAGCCUGUGGAGCUGGGAUCAUCUCCAGAUUAAAAAAAAAAAUUAAACACAGUUUUGAGAGAGACAGAUUAAUAAGGACCAGAGUAAAUGACAGUGUAGAAUCCAGGUUUCAGUCAGGCAUUGUGAGUCUCCUUUUGUCUGCAGCUGAACUGAAUGGACGGCUUAGAUCUCUUCAUCUCAUAACUCAUCCAUUCCUGGCGAGGAGGGGCAGGUGUAGCUGGUUUUCCAAACCCUGCCCCUUCGUAUACACAUCAUCAUCAUUAUCAUCUCCAUGGCACCACCCCUUCAGCUAGUUAGGUCCAUCUGAUAGCAGUUCAGAGGACCAACAAUUAAAAUAUGCAUGAGCUUGACAAGUUGCAUUGAGGAAAGACAGGAGAAGCUUGACUGCCGUGGUGUAAAAAUGAAGCCGCUGAAACCUGACACUAAGCCGUUAAGUUCCAGGCUUAAAAUCAUGACUGCAAUUAACAGUUUUUAUAUUUAUGAGGCAAUGGUAGAAAUAAUAAUUUCUGUCAUACAGCUGUAUAGUUCAUAGACAGGAAAGGCAAGUUUAUUUCUAUAGUACAUUUUAGCAUCAAGACAAUUUAAAGUGCUUCACACAAGACAUCAGAGGUGAUGCGAUCAAUAAUUAUAGCACAGAAAGAAAAUUAAAAAGAAAACAGAAGGUUA